UGAGGAAUAUUGCGCAAUGGGCGAAAGCCUGAAGGAGCGACGCCGCGUGGGGGGUGAAGGGUUUCGAUCCGUAAACCCCUGUCAUUUGCGAACAAACCUUCCGGUUUAACUGGCCGGGAGCUGAUUGUAGCGAAAGAGGAAGGGACGGCUAACUCUGUG
RNAcentral lists this ribosomal RNA (159 nucleotides) under uncultured bacterium. Its description in RNAcentral is "partial 16S ribosomal RNA". It matches the Rfam family "Bacterial small subunit ribosomal RNA", at positions 355 to 507 of the family's 1533-position model. The record is from RNAcentral.